Molecule: non-coding RNA, 46 nt
Filed under: Schistosoma mansoni
Lineage: Eukaryota; Metazoa; Platyhelminthes; Trematoda; Strigeidida; Schistosomatidae
Source: RNAcentral
GCACUGCUGAGUAGUCCUAUAAUAGGACGAAACGGUCGUCCAGUGC